CCAAUAGCGUAUAUUAAAGUUGUUGCAGUUAAAAAGCUCGUAGUUGAAUUUCGGGGUUAGUAGGUUGGUCAUGCCUCUGGUAUGCACUGGUCUCACUGAUUCCUCCUUCCUGAUGAGCCGUAAUGCCAUUAAUUUGGUGUUGCGGGGAAUCUGGACUGUUACUUUGAAAAAAUUAGAGUGUUUAAAGCAGGCUAACGCUUGAAUACAUUAGCAUGGAAUAAUGGAAUAGGACGUUCGAUCUUAUUUUGUUGGUUUCUAGGAUUGACGUAAUGAUUAAUAGGGAUAGUUGGGGGCAUUAGUAUUCAAUUGUCAGAGGUGAAAUUCUUGGAUUUAUUGAAGACUAACUACUGCGAAAGCAUUUGCCAAGGAUGUUUUCAUUAAUCAAGAACGAAAGUUAGGGGAUCGAAGACGAUCAGAUACCGUCGUAGUCUUAACCAUAAACUAUGCCGACUAGGGAUCGGAUGAUGUUAAUUUUUUAAUGACUCAUUCGGCGCCUUACG
RNAcentral lists this ribosomal RNA (500 nucleotides) under uncultured Glomeromycotina. RNAcentral's name for it is "partial small subunit ribosomal RNA". It matches the Rfam family "Eukaryotic small subunit ribosomal RNA", at positions 591 to 1092 of the family's 1831-position model. The record is from RNAcentral. Lineage: Eukaryota; Fungi; Glomeromycota.